This 3885-nucleotide long non-coding RNA is filed under the name Sus scrofa (pig). RNAcentral describes it as "lncRNA (ENSSSCG00035031666.1)". Lineage: Eukaryota; Metazoa; Chordata; Mammalia; Artiodactyla; Suidae. The record is from RNAcentral.
GGCGGCUGGGGAGGCUCAGGCGGCGGAGCCUCCGGGACGGCGAACGGCGGGCGGCGGAGGAGGAGACGGCGGGUCGGGUAGGGCCGCGUUUCCCCUCCUCCUCCUCCCACCCUCCCAUCCCCUAAGCCCGGGGGUGUCCUCCGACAGCCCUUGCGGGGAGCCAAGCUGUGUUCUCAUCCCGAGGGGCAGGGCAGGCGAGACUGCGCUCAGCUCCCUCGACGAACCGGGUUCUGAGAGCAGCCGUGAUUGGGGGGAGGGGGAGCCCUGGUGUAGGGGGGAGGACGCAUGCGCAAGCGACAACGCUCCGGAGCCCCUGCCCAAACCGGUUCCCCCUGUCUGGGUGGGUGUCUGUCUUCCCCGUCCUGCACUUGUGGCCAUGCCUCUCGCCCCCCCAGCAAAGCCGGUUUGUCUGUUGACUUUCGUGUUUUGGGACAGGUCCUGUUUGGGAAUUCGGCUGCUCCCUCCGCCUCAGUUUCUCCCCGUUGCCCGCUGGGCCUGUAUCUCUUCCUGGGCUGCGCCUAAUUUGAAAGACUUGCUUUAUUCUAAUGUCGGUCUGCCUUCUCGUGUUGGCCUUGCUGUCUUGUUUUCUGCACCUGCAAUGGAAGUGUCCCUGGUAUCCCAUCUCCCCAGAUACUUCAAGUAUCUGCCCACAAUACCUCAUUUCUGAGUUUUGAUUCCCAACACUUUUCCGGGUUUUAAGUGUUGAGCCUGGGGGUGAUUAACUACAGAUUUCCAGGAGUUCGCUGUCCAUUGCCUGGUAGUACUUUGGUGUUCUUGCUCUCACGCUGUUAUUGUCUGCACCUGCUUUUACAGACAUCACCAUACUUACGGUUACUCGAGGAUUCCUUUUUCUUGAAAACAACUGUCCUAGCCGACCGUGUUAAGUGAUCAUGUUAUUAGUGCUCACGCUACAAGUGCUCCGUUAGUUUAAAAUCAUGUUCCAACUUGAAUUUGGGAACUUUUGUUGUUUGCUGUCAGUGAAAGAAAAACUGUCGGGGGCAGGGUUUCUCAAUUCACUUGAUAUUUUCAUUCAAUAAACACCUGUAUUCACGUACAUGUGACUGGAGUAGUAAGUUGUGUGUGUCUGUUUCCAGCUGCUUUGUUUAUUUAGGAAGGAAAAAAAGCAAUGGAGAGUAACUUGAACUGAGUUGGUCACAUAAAAUUGAAGUCUGAAAAGUUGAAAAACUUAAGUGCCAAGGGAGUGCACAUACGUUUUGUUUUUCCUAAUGAAGGACCUCUUGGUCUUAAUUCUAGCGUGUAUAGGGUGGUGUUUUAAUAUGUAUUUAAAGCUUUUAAAUCGAGUUUAUUUAUAAAAACUGAAAAUGAAUCGGGUGUUCGUUAUGAUCUUCUUUUGUAGACCUCAAUUUGCAUAAAUAAAAUUUGAAUCCAUGAUUGGCUUGUAUUUAUUGGUAACAUUUAAGAUUCACAUAUAGUUUUAAUACAGAUUAUCAACUCAAAUUUGUAAUUAAAAUCGAACGAUUGCUAUGUCGUACACUUUCUUUUUAUUUUAGUUUUAUAACUCAGUUUACAGUUAAGUCAGGUCAUUGUUAUUAAGGUGUAUGUUUGGGUAAGUAACCUGCCAACUGUAUGCAUUUCGGCAUUUUUUGGCAUAAUGUUGUAUUAGCACUUUACAGGUGCUUAAUCUGGAUUAAAAGGUAGUUUAGUGGGACUGUGUAAAAGUGUAGGCACCUGUUUCCUAUUUUUUCUACUGCCUAUUGAAAGAAGUGUACUAUGUACAUUAUCUACAUGAGGGGACAUGAUUUCCUAUAAACAUCUCAACUUUACACCCCAGAUUGUUUUAAGAAGUCAUUUUCUAUGAGUAUAUUUCCAGCUAGACUUUACAGCCCAGGUUCUUCUAAAGAAGUCAUUGUCUUUUAUUGAGCAUGUUGCCAGCUGAAGUGUUUCCUAGCUCAGAUGAAGCCUAUUUUGAAGGUCUCACAAUUUCACUUUGAUUGUUUUAACAAGUUACCUUUGAGUACAGGCUUCAGAAAAUAAUUAGCUUAAAUCGUUGUAACUGUUGUCUUUAUAGAUACUGAUGUGCUGAGGUUCUAACAUAAUACAGCUUGAGUAUUGUCUUUGUAGUUUUUCAUAUAAUCAGAUAUUACACUUUUCAAGCAUAUGAAAUAAAUGAGUAUAAAACUCUUAUUAAUCUUUUUUGGAGAUAGAACUCAAAUGUUAACACAGUGCUAAAUUAACCCAAGCAGAGUUUAGCGUGACAUUUGGGUGCUUUGUAUUGUUUUGUUGGUUUUCCAUAGUUAGAUUCUAAAGCGAGAAAAUCCAAGGCUAAGGACUUAGCUGUCUGUGGAUGUACAUAAUAAAACAUAGUUUUAACAGCUGUUUCUUUUUUGCAUAAAAUGAUUACCUGGUCUGCCCCUGCAACUCCAGUUUUGUGUUGAUCCUGAGAUCCUUAUUCUUUGGAAAACUUGUGAGUCAAAACAAUACUGGAUAGACCCUUAAACUUAGAACCACUCUUGUUGACCCUUAAGCCGCCUUGUUUCUUGUCAUGUGCAAAGACUCUCUGACCAAAUAUGGCAUUUUGCAAGUCAUGAACACUUUAGUUUAUAGAAUUUAACCUGUUAGUUUCCCUUUUGUCAAAUUAACCAUAGUACUUUGAGAUAAUCAUCAGAACUAAUAGAGUUUUGUAAGGCCUGACUUUCCUCCCAGGUCUCUUUUGCUGUGGAUCACAAAAUAGUAAAAAUAAAGCCUUAAACUUAUUUUUAAGUUCAUGCUUGACAUUAAAUAGUAUAUAUUACUUUGGCUCUAAAAGAUGAGAUGUAUAUCUUCUUAAUUGUAUGACUGUGCUGCCAAAUUUGGAGGUUUGCACUUUUCUAAGAGUUAAUGCAUGUAUAGUUGUUACAUAUUACCGGUUAAGAUUGCAUCAGCUUUUAUGUAAUAAAUCACAACUCAUGGCAUCCAUUAAUCUUUGUGGCAAUACAUUUUUCUCCAAAAUAAAAUGUGACAUCUCUUAAGGUACAUUAGCAAAUUAGUUUCUGUGGUAACUUUAACAAAAUGUUAUUAACUCUUAAAGCUUAACAAAGAUUUGACUUUUUUAUUUUUCUUUUAUUUAUCCACUUUAGUAAUUAUAACCAACAGCAUGUGUUUAUCAUCUUGUUUUCCAUUUUCUGAGAGUGGUCCUUGUGUCAGGAAAAGCAGUUGAUACACAGAAUCUUUCCUUGGGAACAUAUUUUAAUUAUCAUCUUGGGUAGUUAGAUAGCAUUCAAGGCUAAAUUGGAUUAAAUGCUGGGCAUUUCUGUAAUACUUCUGGGAGAAGCCAUGAGUUAAUGAUUUUAAUACUUUUACUGUAGAGGUAAUAAACUCUCUUAUGCCCUUGAAGUAUGCUGAUAAACAGAUUCUGGCAAGGUGAGAGUAGAAACAUGUCAUGUAAAUCUCUUUUGCUGUGAUGUAUACAGUUUCCUAUGAAUAGACCUCUGUUAUACCUGAAAAAAAGAAAUGGUUAUAUCUUUGUUGAGUUACUUGUUGAAUUCUCUGUGAAUUAAAGAAAAAUCUGAUUUCUGUCUAACCUUAAAAGUUAAUAUCUUAGAUAAAAAAUGGGAAAGAGUUCCUGUUGUGGUUCAGUGGAUUACGAACCACUGAGGUUAGGGGUUCAAUCCCUGACCUUGCCAAGUGGACUUGUUAGGAUCCAGCGUUGCUGUGAGCUGUGGUGUAGGUCGCAGAUGCAGCUCAGAUUCAAUCCCUAGCCUGGAACUUCUGUAUACCAUAGGGGUGUCCCUAAAAAGCAAAACAAAAGAAAAGAAAAAGGAAAGAGGAGUUACCUUGUGGCACUUCAGGUUAAGGAUCCAGCAUUGUCACUGCAGUGGUUCAGGUUGCUGCCAUGGCACAGAUUUGAUCCCUGGUCCUGGAACUUCUACAUGCCGCCAAAAAAAA